RNAcentral lists this unclassified non-coding RNA (188 nucleotides) under uncultured fungus. RNAcentral describes it as "sequence contains ITS1". Lineage: Eukaryota; Fungi. The record is from RNAcentral.
UUAAUAAUUGUAGGUACUCAGAGGGACGAGGUAGCGACACGGUCUGGGGGCCGUCCGGCGGGCGCCCCCCGGGGGGGGCCGCAGGCUCCGCCCUGGAGCCGCCCGCCGAGGCAACGUUGUGGUAGGUUCGCGGUUGUCUGGGUCCUCUCGGCUCUUCAAUGAUCCCUCCGCUGGUUCACCAACGGAGA